This 386-nucleotide long non-coding RNA is filed under the name Gallus gallus (chicken). Lineage: Eukaryota; Metazoa; Chordata; Aves; Galliformes; Phasianidae. The record is from RNAcentral.
GUUUUGUGAUGCUGGUUUCCAAUUGCCAGUCCAUCGUCCGCCACACUUUCAAACUCCGAUCAUCAGCCUGAGAGGCAAUGUAUUUUCCAACAGGAUCCCAGGUCAGCCCUUUCACCAAGCCAGAAUGCCCUUUCAAAGUGGCAAGAAUUUCUGGAAAUUUGACAGCAUUCCAGAUGACAACAGUGUUAUCCACACUACAGGAUGCCAGCCAAGCAUCAUGUGGAGACCACGCUACAUCCAUGACGUCCCCUGAAUGGCUUCUGAGAAUUGAUACACACCUCCACUGCUCAACGUUAGUUAGUUUGCUACUAGAGCCAAACACAGUGCUGGGUCCAAUGUACGCGGCUCGUUUCCACACCAUGAUCAGUUUGUCAUCUCCCCCUGAA